This 500-nucleotide ribosomal RNA is filed under the name uncultured bacterium. Its description in RNAcentral is "partial 16S ribosomal RNA". It matches the Rfam family "Bacterial small subunit ribosomal RNA", at positions 29 to 523 of the family's 1533-position model. The record is from RNAcentral.
AACGAACGCUGGCGGCGUGCCUAAUACAUGCAAGUCGAACGAGAAAGUCCUUCGGGAUGAGUAGAGUGGCGCACGGGUGAGUAAUGCAUGAGAACGUGCCUUUUGGCUGGGGAUAACCACGGGAAACUGUGGCUAAUACCGAAUAGUCUCGAGAGAGUAAAGAUGGCCUCUAUUUAUAAGCUAUCACCAGAAGAUCGGCUCAUGUCCCAUUAGCUAGUUGGUAGGGUAAUGGCCUACCAAGGCGACGAUGGGUAACUGGUCUGAGAGGAUGAUCAGUCAGACUGGAACUGAGACACGGUCCAGACUCCUACGGGAGGCAGCAGUAGGGAGUAUUGCACAAUGGAGGAAACUCUGAUGCAGCAACGCCGCGUGGGUGAAGAAGGCUCUUGGGUCGUAAAGCCCUUUCGGCCGGGAAGAAGGGGGUGUUGGCUAAUAUCCAACAUCUUUGACGGUACCGGAAGAAGAAGCACCGGCUAAUUUCGUGCCAGCCGCCGCCGUAA